GUUAGGAAUAUUGGACAAUGGGCGCAAGCCUGAUCCAGCCAUGCCGCGUGAGUGAUGAAGGCCUUCGGGUCGUAAAGCUCUGUUGCAGGGGAAGAACACAAUGACGGUACCCUGCUAGAAAGGAUCGGCUAACUUCGUGCCAGCAGCCGCGGUAAGACGAGGGAUCCUAGCGUUGUUCGGAAUUAUUGGGCGUAAAGCGGGUGCAGGUGGCUUGGUAAGUCAGAUGUGAAAGCCUGGGGCUUAACCCCAGAAGUGCAUUUGAUACUGCUGAGCUUGAGUGCUGGAGAGGCUAUUAGAAUUCCUGGUGUAGUGGUGAAAUACGUAGAUAUCAGGAGGAAUACCGGAGGCGAAGGCGGAUAGCUGGCCAGACACUGACACUCAGACCCGAAAGCGUGGGGAUCAAACAGGAUUAGAAACCCUUGUAGUCC
Molecule: ribosomal RNA, 428 nt
Filed under: uncultured bacterium
Lineage: Bacteria
Description: partial 16S ribosomal RNA
Rfam family: Bacterial small subunit ribosomal RNA
Source: RNAcentral